Molecule: ribosomal RNA, 253 nt
Filed under: uncultured bacterium
Lineage: Bacteria
Description: partial 16S ribosomal RNA
Rfam family: Bacterial small subunit ribosomal RNA
Source: RNAcentral
UACGUAGGCAGCGAGCGUUGUUCGGAGUUACUGGGCGUAAAGCGUGCGUAGGCGGUGUCUUAAGUUUGUUGUGAAAUCUCCCGGCUUAACCGGGAGGGUGCGGCGAAUACUGAGAUGCUGGAGUGCCGGAGAGGUAAGCGGAAUUCCUGGUGUAGCGGUGAAAUGCGUAGAUAUCAGGAGGAACACCAGCGGUGUAGACGGCUUUCUGGACCAUUGCUGACGCUGAGACACGGAAGCGUGGGUAGCAAACAGG